RNAcentral lists this ribosomal RNA (990 nucleotides) under Klebsiella pneumoniae. RNAcentral's name for it is "bacterial SSU rRNA". It matches the Rfam family "Bacterial small subunit ribosomal RNA", at positions 8 to 989 of the family's 1533-position model. Lineage: Bacteria; Pseudomonadati; Pseudomonadota; Gammaproteobacteria; Enterobacterales; Enterobacteriaceae. The record is from RNAcentral.
AGAGUUUGAUCAUGGCUCAGAUUGAACGCUGGCGGCAGGCCUAACACAUGCAAGUCGAGCGGUAGCACAGAGAGCUUGCUCUCGGGUGACGAGCGGCGGACGGGUGAGUAAUGUCUGGGAAACUGCCUGAUGGAGGGGGAUAACUACUGGAAACGGUAGCUAAUACCGCAUAAUGUCGCAAGACCAAAGUGGGGGACCUUCGGGCCUCAUGCCAUCAGAUGUGCCCAGAUGGGAUUAGCUAGUAGGUGGGGUAACGGCUCACCUAGGCGACGAUCCCUAGCUGGUCUGAGAGGAUGACCAGCCACACUGGAACUGAGACACGGUCCAGACUCCUACGGGAGGCAGCAGUGGGGAAUAUUGCACAAUGGGCGCAAGCCUGAUGCAGCCAUGCCGCGUGUGUGAAGAAGGCCUUCGGGUUGUAAAGCACUUUCAGCGGGGAGGAAGGCGGUGAGGUUAAUAACCUCAUCGAUUGACGUUACCCGCAGAAGAAGCACCGGCUAACUCCGUGCCAGCAGCCGCGGUAAUACGGAGGGUGCAAGCGUUAAUCGGAAUUACUGGGCGUAAAGCGCACGCAGGCGGUCUGUCAAGUCGGAUGUGAAAUCCCCGGGCUCAACCUGGGAACUGCAUUCGAAACUGGCAGGCUAGAGUCUUGUAGAGGGGGGUAGAAUUCCAGGUGUAGCGGUGAAAUGCGUAGAGAUCUGGAGGAAUACCGGUGGCGAAGGCGGCCCCCUGGACAAAGACUGACGCUCAGGUGCGAAAGCGUGGGGAGCAAACAGGAUUAGAUACCCUGGUAGUCCACGCCGUAAACGAUGUCGAUUUGGAGGUUGUGCCCUUGAGGCGUGGCUUCCGGAGCUAACGCGUUAAAUCGACCGCCUGGGGAGUACGGCCGCAAGGUUAAAACUCAAAUGAAUUGACGGGGGCCCGCACAAGCGGUGGAGCAUGUGGUUUAAUUCGAUGCAACGCGAAGAACCUUACCUGGUCUUGACAUCC